GACGUAGGGCGCGAGCGUUGUCCGGAUUUAUUGGGCGUAAAGAGCUCGUAGGCGGCUUGUCGCGUCGAAUGUGAAAACCCACGGCUCAACUGUGGGCUUGCAUUCGAUACGGGCAGGCUAGAGUUCGGUAGGGGAGACUGGAAUUCCCGGUGUAGUGGUGAAAUGCGUAGAUAUCGGGAGGAACACCAGUGGCGAAGGCGACUUCCUGGCCCGUUCUUGACGCUGAGGCGCGAAAGCUAGGGGAGCAAACGGG
Molecule: ribosomal RNA, 253 nt
Filed under: uncultured bacterium
Lineage: Bacteria
Description: partial 16S ribosomal RNA
Rfam family: Bacterial small subunit ribosomal RNA
Source: RNAcentral